UACGAAGGGGGCUAGCGUUGCUCGGAAUCACUGGGCGUAAAGCGCACGUAGGCGGCUUUUUAAGUCAGGGGUGAAAUCCUGGAGCUCAACUCCAGAACUGCCUUUGAUACUGAAGAUCUUGAGUUCGGGAGAGGUGAGUGGAACUGCGAGUGUAGAGGUGAAAUUCGUAGAUAUUCGCAAGAACACCAGUGGCGAAGGCGGCCCACUGGCCCGAUACUGACGCUGAGGCACGAAAGCGUGGGGAGCAAACAGG
Molecule: ribosomal RNA, 253 nt
Filed under: uncultured bacterium
Lineage: Bacteria
Description: partial 16S ribosomal RNA
Rfam family: Bacterial small subunit ribosomal RNA
Source: RNAcentral